RNAcentral lists this long non-coding RNA (954 nucleotides) under Elaeis guineensis (African oil palm). RNAcentral describes it as "long non-coding RNA (EGUI_LNC048797)". The record is from RNAcentral. Lineage: Eukaryota; Viridiplantae; Streptophyta; Magnoliopsida; Arecales; Arecaceae.
GGGUCUAAAUGGAUACAUACCAACAAUAUGUAGCUCGAUAUUAUAAUACUCGAGUGAAAGUUAAGUUCUUCUGAUCUAGAGAUCUUGUGCUCAAAAAGAUUGAGUGACCUAAUCAAUGAAAUAAGAUAAGCUCGCAUCAAAUUAAAAAGGACCACAUUGAGUAUCAAAGGUCAUUCACCUAAUCAGAAUCUAUCACCUAUAGCAUCUUGAUAGGAUAUCUAUAUCAUGGAUAUGGAAUUCAACCAAUCUUUGAGUGUAUUAUCAAUAAGAGACGUCUUAUUGUUAUGUAUACUUGAUCCCAGUAAAUAAAAUACUAUUUCUCCAAAAACUAUCAAUACUUUAGGUUGGAUAACUCUCUCUAAAAUGAGUCAAAAAGGAUCGAGUGCACCCCUAAAGACUGCUGACUACCGAAUCUACAAUGAGUGUGCAUGUCUCAGCCCUCCUGAUUGCGUGCCUCUUCUAAAGAAUGUUGAUCAUGAAUUUUAUAGAGCAAGUCUCUCCUAUGAUCACUAAGAAAGUACUUUCAAGCAUAGCUAGUUGGGCAAGUCGUUUCAUGGCCUCAAGGAGGCGACACCUCCAUCUUGAGCCAAUCCUAAUGCCAAAGAUCUGGUGAGCUAACCAAUCGUUCAAGGUCAGCAUAGUCCAGAUGCACAAAUUGAAUGAGCCAUUUCAUAACAUCAAGGAGGCAAUAUCUCUAUCCUAAACUAUCUCUCACAUCAAAGGCAUAGCAAGCCAAUUGAUCUCUCAAGGUUGGAUAGCCUAAGUGCAUAGGUCGAGCGAGCCAUAUCAUGGCCCUGAGAAAGCAAUAUCUCUAUCAUAAACUAGCCUUCAUGCCCAAGACCUAGCAAGCUAACCAAUCUCUUGAGGUUGGGAUGGCCUGCAUUUAUAGUUGAGUAAGCUAUUCUAAGGCCUAGAGGAGGAAACAUCUACAUCCUGAAUUGGCCCUCACACUGA